AGAGUUUGAUCCUGGCUCAGAUUGAACGCUGAUGCUUUACACUGCAAGUCGAACGGUAACAGGCCUUCGGGCGCUGACGAGUGGCGAACGGGUGAGUAAUGUAUCGGAACGUACCUUUCAGUGGGGGAUAACGUAGCGAAAGUUACGCUAAUACCGCAUAUUCUGUGAGCAGGAAAGCAGGGGAUCGCAAGACCUUGCGCUGAUUGAGCGGCCGAUAUCAGAUUAGCUAGUUGGUGAGGUAAAGGCUCACCAAGGCGACGAUCUGUAGCGGGUCUGAGAGGAUGAUCCGCCACACUGGAACUGACACGGUCCAGACUCCUACGGGAGGCAGCAGUGGGGAAUUUUGGACAAUGGGGGCAACCCUGAUCCAGCCAUGCCGCGUGAGUGAAGAAGGCCUUCGGGUUGUAAAGCUCUUUCGGCCGGGAAGAAAUCGUACGGGUUAAUACCCUGUGCGGAUGACGGUACCGGCAUAAGAAGCACCGGCUAACUACGUGCCAGCAGCCGCGGUAAUACGUAGGGUGCGAGCGUUAAUCGGAAUUACUGGGCGUAAAGCGUGCGCAGGCGGUUUUGUAAGACAGGCGUGAAAUCCCCGGGCUCAACCUGGGAACUGCGCUUGUGACUGCAAGGCUAGAGUAUGGCAGAGGGGGGUGGAAUUCCACGUGUAGCAGUGAAAUGCGUAGAGAUGUGGAGGAACACCAAUGGCGAAGGCAGCCCCCUGGGCCAAUACUGACGCUCAUGCACGAAAGCGUGGGUAGCAAACAGGAUUAGAUACCCUGGUAGUCCACGCCCUAAACGAUGUCAACUAGGUGUUGGGUGGGUAAAACCAUUUAGUACCGUAGCUAACGCGUGAAGUUGACCGCCUGGGGAGUACGGCCGCAAGGUUAAAACUCAAGGAAUUGACGGGGACCCGCACAAGCGGUGGAUGAUGUGAUUAAUUCGAUGCAACGCGAAAA
RNAcentral lists this ribosomal RNA (953 nucleotides) under uncultured beta proteobacterium. RNAcentral's name for it is "bacterial SSU rRNA". It matches the Rfam family "Bacterial small subunit ribosomal RNA", at positions 8 to 967 of the family's 1533-position model. The record is from RNAcentral. Lineage: Bacteria; Pseudomonadati; Pseudomonadota; Betaproteobacteria.